CAAUAGCGUAUAUUAAAGUUGUUGCAGUUAAAAAGCUCGUAGUUGGAUUUCUGGUGAGAGUGGCUGGCCCGCCCUUAUGGGGUGUGAGCUUUGCUUAUUCUCGCCAUCCUUGGGGAAAGCCUUUCUGGCAUUAAGUUGUCGGAUUGGGGAUCCUCAUCGUUUACUGUGAAAAAAUUAGAGUGUUCAAAGCAGGCUUACGCCGUUGAAUACAUUAGCAUGGAAUAAUAAGAUAGGACUUUAGUACUAUUUUGUUGGUUUGCGUACCAAAGUAAUGAUUAAUAGGGAUAGUUGGGGGUAUUCGUAUUCAGUUGUCAGAGGUGAAAUUCUUGGAUUUAUUGAAGACGAACUACUGCGAAAGCAUUUACCAAGGAUGUUUUCAUUAAUCAAGAACGAAAGUUAGGGGAUCGAAGACGAUUAGAUACCGU
RNAcentral lists this ribosomal RNA (425 nucleotides) under uncultured eukaryote. RNAcentral describes it as "SSU rRNA". It matches the Rfam family "Eukaryotic small subunit ribosomal RNA", at positions 592 to 1018 of the family's 1831-position model. The record is from RNAcentral.